GCCCGAGUGGUGGAAUGGCAUACACGCACGACUCAAAAUCGUGUGCCGCAAGGCUUGUGGGUUCAAGUCCCACCUCGGGCACCA
This 84-nucleotide transfer RNA is filed under the name Minisyncoccota bacterium. RNAcentral's name for it is "tRNA-Leu". It matches the Rfam family "tRNA". Rfam says of the family: Transfer RNA (tRNA) molecules are approximately 80 nucleotides in length. Their secondary structure includes four short double-helical elements and three loops (D, anti-codon, and T loops). The record is from RNAcentral. Lineage: Bacteria; Bacillati; Minisyncoccota.